RNAcentral lists this long non-coding RNA (1006 nucleotides) under Sus scrofa (pig). Its description in RNAcentral is "lncRNA (ENSSSCG00030057010.1)". Lineage: Eukaryota; Metazoa; Chordata; Mammalia; Artiodactyla; Suidae. The record is from RNAcentral.
UCGCACUGUUAGUUUCUGCUGUAUAGCAAAGUGAUUCUGUUACAUAUUUACAUAUAUGUGUGUAAAUAUGUAACAGAAUAUUCUGUUACAUUAUGGUUUAUCUUGGAAUAUUGAAUAUAGUUCACUCUGCUAUACAGUAUGGUUAACGAAUCCGACUAGGAACCAUGAGGUUGCGGGUUCGAUCCCUGCCCUUGCUCAGUGGGUUAACGAUCCGGCGUUGCCGUGAGCUGUGGUGUAGGUUGCAGAUGCGGCUCAGAUCCCGAGUUGCUGUGGCUCUGGCAUAGGCUGGCAGCUACAGCUCCGAUUCGACCCCUAGCCUGGGAACCUCCAUAUGCUGCGGGAGCGGCCCAAGAAAUAGCAAAAGACAAAAAAUAAAUAAAUAAAUAAAAAUCUAGAAAGGGGUAACAUUCCAAGAGGAUACAUAACAUACUUCAGUUCUUUAAAACCUGAAGUUUUCCACAAAUAUUUCAUAAUUUUUACAUAUUUUGGGGGGUGGGUGAAAAUUUAGCCCCCCUUAAAAAAACCUCUUAGCAUAUUUAGGUAUUGGUUGUCAGUGGUUUACUUUUCCAGUAAAGUAAAACCUCUUUAUGAAAAAUCUUGCCUCUAUUUGUCUCCUGAGGGAAUUAUUACUACUACCACUAAUAAUAUGAAAAAGAAGAAUAGAUGAAGCUUUUUGAGUUUUUAUUAUGUGCCAAAUCCUAAGUUCUUACACAUAAUAACCCACACAACCACUCUUUUAGAUAGCUUUCUAUUUUCAUCAUUUUACAAGUAAGAAACUAAAGUACAUAAAAAUAAAGUAACUUGACUUUUUUUUUUAACUUAAGAUCACACUGUUAGUAAAUGGUGGAGCCAAGAUUCCAGAUUGGUAGUCUGGCUCCAGAGUUGAGUGCCUUAAGGACUAUGCUAUACCACCUUUCAGAUAUCCAAGCUAUUUGUCUAUACGAUCUAUCUGUAAAUAGAAAUUUCUUUUAUCAAGUAUUUCUUUUACUAAUGUAAUGCUGUUUGU